This 73-nucleotide non-coding RNA is filed under the name uncultured Prevotella sp. RNAcentral describes it as "L13-Bacteroidia ribosomal protein leader". It matches the Rfam family "L13-Bacteroidia ribosomal protein leader". Lineage: Bacteria; Pseudomonadati; Bacteroidota; Bacteroidia; Bacteroidales; Prevotellaceae. The record is from RNAcentral.
GGAGGUCUUAGAAUCCCCGCGCAUGAGGGUGUUAAUAGCAAUGUCUUUGGCCGGGCAUUGUGGUUAGUGAAUC